UCUCUCCCUUCCUUUCUUCCUCUCAAUGAACAUAGUAUUUUGAAUACUAUAGUAGACUAAAUAGUGCCCCCCCCACCAAAGGUCCAUGUUGUAAUACCUGGAACCUGUGAAUAUGUUACCUUACAUGGCAAAGGGCACUUACUUUGCAGAUAUGAUAAAGAGGGACUCAGAAGGUGUCAGAGUCAAGGAAGACAAUAUGACAACAAGCCAAGAGGGGUUUGAAGAUGCUACUUUGCUGGCUUUGAAAGGGGCCAGAGCCAGAGAAUCCAAGGAAUGCAGCUCUAGCAGCUGGAAAGGCCACAGUUCUCCCCUAGAGCCUCUGGAGGGAGCGCAGCCCUGCCAGCACCGUAGGUUCAGCCCGGAUGCACCAUUUCAGACUUCGGACCUCCAGAACUAUAAGAGAAUAUAUUGUGCUAUUUUAAACCUUAAAGUUUGUGGUCAUUUGUUCCAGCAGCAACAGGAAACUAAUUUGAGCACCAAGCACUGUAUCUGAUAUAACCAAAGCUUCAAAGGAGGGUGCAGGCCCAGGAGUCGUGUGGCCACUGCCAGGAGAGCUAAAGCCAUAAGACUCUUGGCCACCUCGCUUCCUGCCUCUCUCAGUUGAUUCCCUGUGACUCUAUCCCUGCAUGGAGGAGAGACAAGUGAAAAUGAAAGACAGAUGAAUGUGUCAAGUUGAGAGCUCUUUACAUGAUGAAGGUGUUUCUGCUUCAUUGCAUGAAACAGAACAUAGAGCGGUGAUAAAACCCAGCCAGAUCCUUUGGGUUGACUUCCAACCGCAGGUGGUGGUUACUCAUUAGGAAAGAGCGAACACUGUAAUGACUUCAAAACUAAGGAGUGCAAAGCCAAAUAUUCACUAAUAAUCACUCAUCAAGGAGAACAGAUGGCACACGUUGAACACUCCUGAAAAUGAAAGCCCUUGGCUGCAGGGGUGAAUGUCCAGGACCCACAGAAAAUAUCAAGUCAGAUACCUCUUGAAGCACUGAUGGGAAGGUGCAGCUGGACUCCCUGGAACUCUGAAGCUGAGAGACAGAGCACUACGGAAGGGAGCCCCAUUCCCAAGCAUGGUGUCCAAUACACUGAAAGAAUAACUGGGCUCAGUAAUGCACCUAGAGACUCAGAUUCCAGACCUGCCCACUUGCUUUACUAUCCAAAACAACCAUGACACAUGACUUCUCUGGCGGGGUGUUGGCCAAGACAAACUGAACUAUAGAAGAUCCUUGACUUGCCAACGUUCAAAUGAUGAACUUUCAAAAAUAGCGAAACUGGCUGCAGAGCAAAAGCUUUUCAGCUCUGCACAACACCAACAGAUGGCGCUAAGUGUCACCCUUGUGGAGAGCAGAGGGACCUCGGAAGGGCCUUUGGAAAUCUAAUCUGGUUUUGAGUUCUUGGUGGGAAAAUGCACCUUUAAGUUGGGGGAGUUUGAAGACGUUGCCAAGACACGUGCUGCAGCAUUUGAUCUUUUCUGCCGCACUGGCUUCUGCAAUUAACAUGCUUUCACCAGUGAAACUCAGGUUGCGGGGAGAGCAUUCUUCCAGGUUCAUGCCUGUUGUCAUGGAGUAAUUAUAAUUCAUGUCUCCGUUCACAGUGUCCUGGUUUGUAGAAUAAAAUAUCUGGUCCACCCA
This 1622-nucleotide long non-coding RNA is filed under the name Homo sapiens (human). Its description in RNAcentral is "HSALNT0360320". Lineage: Eukaryota; Metazoa; Chordata; Mammalia; Primates; Hominidae. The record is from RNAcentral.